This 30-nucleotide small RNA is filed under the name Bombyx mori (domestic silkworm). RNAcentral describes it as "ovarian small RNA-12078". The record is from RNAcentral. Lineage: Eukaryota; Metazoa; Arthropoda; Insecta; Lepidoptera; Bombycidae.
AGCCCGGAUGUGGCUCCCUUCUGCAGACUC